This 775-nucleotide ribosomal RNA is filed under the name uncultured Neocallimastigales. RNAcentral's name for it is "partial large subunit ribosomal RNA". It matches the Rfam family "Eukaryotic large subunit ribosomal RNA", at positions 23 to 646 of the family's 3401-position model. Lineage: Eukaryota; Fungi; Neocallimastigomycota; Neocallimastigomycetes; Neocallimastigales. The record is from RNAcentral.
AGAGAGAGACAUGCGCGCAUAUCAAUAAGCGGAGGAAAAGAAACUAACUAGGAUUCCCUCAGUAACGGCGAGUGAAGCGGGAAGAGCUCAAAUUUGAAAUCUUCAAGGUUCUACCUUGACGAAUUGUAGUUUAAAGAAGUGUUUUCUGUUGGAGUUUUGGUAAAAGUUCUUUGGAAUAGGACAUCAUAGAGGGUGAGAAUCCCGUAUUUGACCAUUAUUUCCAGCUUUGUGAUACACUUUCAAAGAGUCGGAUUGUUUGGGAAUGCAGUCCAAAAUGGGUGGUAAAUUUCAUCUAAAGCUAAAUACUUGGCGAGAGACCGAUAGCGAACAAGUACCGUGAGGGAAAGAUGAAAAGAACUUUGAAAAGAGAGCUAAACAGUACGUGAAAUUGUCAAAAGGGAAGCGUUUGACACCAGUGUUGUUUUUCUGAAAAUCAAUUAAAGAACUGUUUAUGCUAAGCUGUUUAGACUUUAUCAGCUAUCUGUUUAGUUUUGAGCUUUUCUUUAAUGCACUUUUCAGUUAACAAGUCAACAUCAAUUUCUUUUGCUGUAAAAAAGCUUGAGGAAGGUGGCUUGAGAUUCGUCUUAAGUGUUUAUAGCCUCUUGCCUAUGCAGUCGGAGAGAUUGAGGUCUGCAGCGUAGAUCCUUCGGGGCUAAAUGCAUUUGUGCUAAGUUAUAACAUUUUAUAGACAACUUGUUGACUAUGAUUUGUCUUGUAGCUUACUCGCUUAUGUUAUUUUACCUACGCUUAGGAUGUUGAUGUGAUACUGCGAGCA